This 405-nucleotide ribosomal RNA is filed under the name uncultured bacterium. Its description in RNAcentral is "bacterial SSU rRNA". It matches the Rfam family "Bacterial small subunit ribosomal RNA", at positions 128 to 518 of the family's 1533-position model. The record is from RNAcentral.
GCCCAUAAGAGGGGAUACAUCCGGAAACGGUGCUAAUACCGCAUAGUUUUCUUGAUCGCAUGAUCGGAAAGGAAAGACGGCCUUUUGUGCUGUCGCUUAUGGAUGGACCCGCGGCGUAUUAGGUUAGUUGGUGAGGUAACGGCUCACCAAGACGAUGAUACGUAGCCGACCUGAGAGGGUGAUCGGCCACAUUGGGACUGAGACACGGCCAAACUCCUACGGGAGGCAGCAGUAGGAAUCUUCCGCAAUGGACGAAAGGUCUGACGGAGCAACGCCGCGUGAGUGAAAAGAAGGUUUUCGGAUCGUAAAACUCUGUUGUCAGAGAAGAACAAGUUGGAGAGUAACUGCUCCAGCCUUGACGGUAUCUGACCAGAAAGCCACGGCUAACUACGUGCCAGCCGCGGC